GAUCCCAUAGCUCAAUUGGUUAGAGUGCCGGCCUGAUACGUCGGAGGUUGAAGGUUCAAGUCCUUCUGGGAUUA
This is a non-coding RNA of Chryseobacterium indologenes, 74 nucleotides long. The record is from Rfam. NCBI's taxonomy places the organism in Bacteria, Pseudomonadati, Bacteroidota, Flavobacteriia, Flavobacteriales, Weeksellaceae.